This 514-nucleotide ribosomal RNA is filed under the name Staphylococcus warneri. Its description in RNAcentral is "bacterial SSU rRNA". It matches the Rfam family "Bacterial small subunit ribosomal RNA", at positions 15 to 511 of the family's 1533-position model. The record is from RNAcentral. Lineage: Bacteria; Bacillati; Bacillota; Bacilli; Caryophanales; Staphylococcaceae.
GAUCCUGGCUCAGGAUGAACGCUGGCGGCGUGCCUAAUACAUGCAAGUCGAGCGAACAGAUAAGGAGCUUGCUCCUUUGACGUUAGCGGCGGACGGGUGAGUAACACGUGGAUAACCUACCUAUAAGACUGGGAUAACUUCGGGAAACCGGAGCUAAUACCGGAUAACAUAUUGAACCGCAUGGUUCAAUAGUGAAAGGCGGCUUUGCUGUCACUUAUAGAUGGAUCCGCGCCGUAUUAGCUAGUUGGUAAGGUAACGGCUUACCAAGGCAACGAUACGUAGCCGACCUGAGAGGGUGAUCGGCCACACUGGAACUGAGACACGGUCCAGACUCCUACGGGAGGCAGCAGUAGGGAAUCUUCCGCAAUGGGCGAAAGCCUGACGGAGCAACGCCGCGUGAGUGAUGAAGGUCUUCGGAUCGUAAAACUCUGUUAUCAGGGAAGAACAAAUGUGUAAGUAACUGUGCACAUCUUGACGGUACCUGAUCAGAAAGCCACGGCUAACUACGUGCCAG